RNAcentral lists this long non-coding RNA (28489 nucleotides) under Equus caballus (horse). RNAcentral's name for it is "lncRNA (ENSECAG00000032350.3)". Lineage: Eukaryota; Metazoa; Chordata; Mammalia; Perissodactyla; Equidae. The record is from RNAcentral.
AGCAGAAGUUGGACAGAUGCACAGGACAGGCAGUGGCAGCACAAGGGGAGCUGUGAGUAAGCCGUGGAGAUGCGUCAGCAGAAGCCGUGAGAGAAAAGCUCGGCCAAGCAGAGGGGGAGGGAAUUGCCUGGGAAUAGCAGGAGGCAGAGAAUGAUGGAGGAGAAUUAAAAUGAAGAUCUACAAAUCCCUGCUGCUGAGAAGCACCGAGACACCAUGAGCGCUGGGACUGCCUGGGGUUCGUUUCUGCAUUCAUUGUUUUCCACCAUUUUGGGCACUAUUCUAAGCGUUAGACAAGAUCUCUCCUUCAUGAAACUUACGUUCUAGUCAGGGAAGUAAAUAUAAAUAGGUAAAAAAGUAAACCAGGCUCAUAGGUAUAGAGAACAGAUUGGUGGUUGCCAGAGGUAGGGGUGGGGAGUGGGCAAAAUGGGUGAAAGGAGUCAAAAGGUGCAAACUUCCAGUUAUCCAAAAUAAAUGUCAUGAGGAUGUCAUGUACUGCAUGGCAACUAGUUAAUAAUACUGUAUCACAUAUUUGAAAGUUGCUAAGAGAGUAAAUCUUAAAGUCCUCAUCUUGGGGCUGACUCAGUGGCAUAGUGGUUAAGUUCACACACUCUGCUUAGGUGGCUAGGGGUUCAUGGGUUUGGAUCCCAGGUGUGGACCUAUAUACCACUCAUCAAGCCAUGUUGUGGUGGCAUCCCACAUACAAAAUAGAGUAAGAUUGGCACAGAUGUUAAGCUCAAGGCCAAUAUACCUCAAGCAAAAAGAGGAAUAUUGGCAACAGAUGUUAGCUCAGGGCCAAACUUCCUCACCAUAAAAAAUUUCUCAUCUCAAGAAAAAAAAAUUCUAUAACUAUAUAUGAUGAUAGAUGUUAACUAGACUUAUAGUGAUGAUCAUUUCACAAUAUAUACAAAUAUUGAAUCAUUAUGUUGGACACCUAAAACUAAGAUAAUGUUGUAUGUAAAUUAUACCUCAAUAAAAAAAAUGGGUGUGGGGGCCAGCCCAGUGGCGUAGUGGUUAAGUUCACAUGCCCUGCUUUGGUGGCCCGGGCUUUGCGGGUUCAGAUCCCAGGUGCAGACCUACACACCACUCAUCAAGCCAUGAUGUGGUGGCAUCCCACAUACAAAAUAGAGGAAGACUGGCACAGAUGUUAGCUCAGGGACAAUCUUCCUCAAGCAAAAAGAGAAAGAUUGGCAACAGAUGUUAGCUCAGGGUCAAUCUUCCUCAUCCAAAAAAGCCCAUUUUUUUUUCAUUACAUAGGAACAGUUGGCAAUUUCUUACAAAACUAAACAGACUCUUACCAUAUGCUCCAGCAAUCACACUCCUUGGUACUUACUGAAAGGAGUUGAAAACUUGUGUCCACUCAAAGACCUGCACAUGGAUGUUUAUAGCAGCUUUAUUCAUAGCUAACAAAACUUGGAAGCAACCAAGACGUCCUUCAGUAGGUGAACAGAUAAGCUGUGGUACAUCCAGACAAUGCAAUAUCAUUCAGUGCUAAAAAUAAAUGAUCUGUCAAGCCAUGAAAAGACAUAGAGAAACCUUAAGUGCAUAUUACUAAGUGAAAGAAGCCAACGUGAAAAGGCUACAUACUCUAUGAUUCCAGCUAUAUGACACUCUGGAAACAGCACAACUAUGGAGACAGUAAAAAGAUCAGUGGUUGCCAGGGGUGGGGCAGAGGGAGGCAUGAAUAGGUGGAGUACACAGGAUUCUUGGGGCAGUGAAAACACUCUGUGUGAUACCAUAAUGAUGGAUAUCUGUCCUUAUACAUUUGUCCAAAUCCACAGAAUGUACGACACCAAGAGUGAACCCUAAUGUAAACUCUGGACUUUGCAUGGUAAUGACGUGUCAAUGUAGGUUCAUGGUUUGUAACCAAUGUACCACACUGGUGGGGGAUGGGAUGUUGAUACUGGGGGAGGCUGUGAAGGUAUGGGGGCAGGGGUAUAUGGGAACUCUCUGUACUUGCUACUCAACUUUGCCGGGAACCUAAAACUUCAAGUAUAUUAAAAAAAAAAAAAAUCCAUUAUAACAAAAAGCUGGAGGAUGGAAUACUCUAGAUUAAAAAAAACUAAAGAGGGCUUCCAUAAAUGAAUGAAUAGAGUAAUAAGUGCUGGAAAGAAAAGUAGAGCUGGCAAGAGGACUGUGUAUGGGAGCAGCUAUUUUUACUUAGGCAUCAAAGAAGGCGUCUCUGAGAAGGUGAUAGAGACCUGAAUGAAGAGAAGGGGGAAGCCAUGUGAAUAUUUGCAAGAUAAACAGUCCAGAUGGAGGGUGGAGGGACCUAUGGGCAAAUUGCUGAGCCCAUAAUGUGCUUGUUCUUCAAAGAACGGCAAAGAGGUCGAUGUGGCUGGAGAGGAGUGAGCGAAAGAGACAGUGAAAGGAAAUUAGGUCAGCGAGGUAGCUGGGCAAGAGCACCAUGCAGUGGGCCUCACAGGCCACGAGGACUUAGGGUGUUACUGUGCAUGUGAUGGGGAGCCAUUGGGGGAAUCCCGAGCAACCUUCCAAUUCCAGUGUCUUCUGGGAAGUCUAGCUGCUCUAUGAUUUCCAUUCUUCCCAUAAAUUCCUGUCCUCUUACCCAUAGAGCCCCAUUGUUUCCCAUAAAGUCCCUUUGGUCAGAUGAGCAGGAAUGAGUUUUCCUUCCUGCCAACAAAGUGAGCCAGUCCCCAAAGCCACCAUGAUUUGACCCUAAGAAAUCCCUCAGCUUCCCCUUCUUCCUCUUGCCCCUUUCUCCCAGUGCUCCACUCCAGCAGCCUCAUAUUUGCCAGGUGCUAGGUGCAGCCUGCCUUUGCUGCCUCUGGGUCUUUGCUCUAACUCUUCCCUCUCUCUAGAAAGACUUUCUCUGGAGAACUUCUUGUCACAGUCCACCUCUCCAAGGACAUUCGCAAAUCCCACUUCUUCUAGGAAACUUUCCAUGAUCACUUGACUUGAAAUGGACUCUUCUCUCCUUAACUCCUGUUUGGAUUAUUUUCAGUUGCAUAAGUAACUACCCAAAACUUAGUGCUUACAAAUUAAAACAAUAAUUUACUAUCUCUUGAAAUGCUGUGGGCUUACUAGGCAUUCUUCUGCAUCACAAGGUGUGGCUGGGUGCUGGCACAGCUGAAGUCAACCGGGGCCUUAACUGGACUGGACCGUCUAAGACGGCUCACUCCCAUGGCUGACAGUUGAUGCUCAGCUGGGGCUGUCAAUGGGGCACCUGUAGAUGACAGGUCACAGCAUGGCAGCUAGGUUCCUAGAGGGAGCAUCCUGAGAAAAUCAGGAGGAAGCCACAAGGCUUCUGAUGGUUUAGCCUUGGAAGGCACCCAAAGUCAUUUCAGCUGCAUUCUGUCGUCAUGGGCCAGCCCAGUUUUGAGGAGGUAAAAAGGACAAAUAGAUCCUGGCUCUUAAUGGAGGCAGUGUCAAGGAAUUUGCAGUUAUCUUCAACCCACCACAGCUCUCAUGGUGUUGUUUCCACAUACUGAUUAGAGCGUUUGUCACCUUUUGCCUAUAUAACAAUUAUUUAAGUGUCUUUUAUCUCACAUACUAGAUUUUAUGCCCCUGAGGAGAGACUACAUCUUAUUUAACUCAAUUCUUUCAAAGUAAUAAUAACCACAAUAAUAACAAACAUUUAUUAAGUGCCUACUAUGUGCUUGAUCUCAUCUAUUCAAACACAUGAUCUCCUCUAGUCUCUACUCUGACAGGGUAGACAUUAUCCCCAUUUUACUGAUUGGGAAACCGAGGCACAGAGAGAUUCAGCCUUGCCCAAAGCCAUAUACAGUCAUGAGCUGAAUAACGACAUUUCAGUCAACAACAGACUGUGUAUACAACAGUGGUCCCAUAAGAUUAGCACCGUAUAGCCUAGGUGUGUAGUAGGCUUUACCAUCUAGGUUUGUGUAAGUACUGUAGGGGAGGAAGAAAUUCUCCUCUACCCUCUAGGUUCUUGUGGCUGGUUUAAGAAUGAAAUUGACCUGAGACAGUUAGAGGGAGAAAAGCAAACAAAAGUUUAAUAGCAUGUAUAUAGGGGAGAAGUCCAGGAAAACCAAGUAACUUACCAAAAUGGCUGAAGCCCUCACCUUAAGUACCAUCCUCAGCUAAUGAGAAAAGAUGUUGGGGUGGGGAGAGUCAAGAACUUCAAAGGGAAGGAAGGCAAUUCACAGGUAGGUGAAAAGGAGCAAAUGUUUGGAAAACAAGUGUGUAUUUGGCCACACAGAAACAGAAGAACACAGAGGGGAGCCCAACAAACUGUCUACCGUCUAGUUCAUGUUACACUAAGGUGAUAGCUCACUUCCUGAGACAGGCUUUUUUUUUAAAUCUGAUUUCUUUUAGGCAGUUAAGCGGGAGGUAACAAGAAAAACUUUCUGAGUCCUUUGUUUCUUAAAAAUAAUCAGCCUAAAAUAGUCCUCAUGUUAAAGAGACACAUUUGGGGUGGCAAAUUUUGUUCCCCUUCAGUACACUCUCUGAUGUUCACACGACAAAAUUGCCUAACAAUGUAUUUCUCAGGACGUGUCCCCGUCAUUAAGUGAUGCAUGGCUGUAAUUGGUAGGUGGCAGAGCCAGAAUUUUGAACCCAUUGAAGAGUCUGUCUUCUCAUUAUCUUUUCCAUUGCCAUCUCACAAUCUUGGCACCAAAGAAAUGUGCUCAAGUCAACCUGUGUUGGUGUUACUGAAGUGUCGCUGGGCACAAGAACAAAAGGGAAAGAAGAAGAAAGAAUGCAGAACGGAAAGUGAGGGGUGGCACAGAGUUGUCAUCAAGUGAGCCAGGUGGCUCCAGUUGACACAUGGUCCAGAGGUCCAGUGCUGAGCAUCCUCUGUAGCCUGCUGGAUAGAGGGCAGAGUGUUUGGGAGCUCAGCAAGGAAUGGGAGUAUUUAUUGGGUCUGAGUGCCUGAUUCGAAACUCUUCUCCAAAAUUCCUAUUUUCUGUCUGCCAAAAUAAGUGAUGGACUUUACAGUUCAUAUUCUAGCUCAUCUGCCCAGGUCAGGGACCUACCACUCUGAAUUUCUCGUCUGCUUCUUCCCAGCUAGAAGUAAGUCUCGAUUUACUUCCCAUCAGGAACAAGCACCAUCUCCCUGCUCAGUGAGAUCCUAGUUUUAGAAGAUUCUGCCUUUAUCCUGGGAAUAUCUAUGUAUGUGCACAAAGCCCCUCUCUGUGGAGGAGACACUUAAACCUAAAAUAAGUGGGAACUUCAUAUCCAGGGAGAUGGCAAAUAAAAUGUCAAUAUUUUUUACAUUAAACAACCUCUUAUAUAUCUGUUCUUCUGUGAACGUAAUGGCACCGAUGGGCCAAAAGUCCAAAAAAACUGCUUCAGUUCCUGUGUUAGUCCGUUCAGGCUGCGGUAACAAAAGCCCACAGCCUGGGUGGGGGGUGGUAGUUUAUAAACAACAGACAUUUAUUUCUCACAGUUCUGGAGUCUGGGAAGUCCAAGAUCAUGGUGUCAGCAUGGUUGGACAUGGGCCCUCUUUCUGGUUCACCGCCUGCACCCUCUCGCUGUGUCCUCACAUCGUGGAAGGGGCAAAGGAUCAUUCUGAAGCCUCUUUUUUUCAAGGCACUAAUCCCUUGGUGAGGGCUGCACCCUCAUGACUUAAGCACAUCCCAAAGGUCCCAUCUCCUAAUACCAUCACCACUGAGGGUUAGGAUUUCAACAUUUGAGUCUGCGGGGGACACAAACAUUCAAACCGUACAGUUCCUCAAUGUGAAUGUCAACAAUUGGUGCAAAAAGUGGAGGCACAGAUUGUUUUAGCCUCUUUCCCCUGUGGCCCCCACACUCAUAGGGCUGAUCAUCCCCUGCUCACGUGUGCACCAUUCCCAAAGGACAUCACCGUGAAAUGGUGGCUAUGUUCUUGGACAUGACAGAGCAAGUGUCUUCAGUACUUCAAGGACACAAUUAUACAGCUCUAUGCACCUUGGGAAUUACAAAGACAUUCACUGAUCAGCCUGGUCAGCUGACAUUCUUAAUUGUUUACAGUCAAUUCUCCUUGCUCCAGGUCCACCCAUGAGUCCCUAGAAGGAUAAAAGGGUAGAUCAGCUUAUAAAAACACUGCCUUAAGAACCUAAAAAGUCUGAAAUGACAAAACUCUGCCAAACAAUGGAGAAAUCCAUUGAAAAUACCAACUACUUGUGUAGUAAGGUCAAGCAAGCAUGUCACUAGGCCUUACUGUAUCAGAGGCAAAAUUAUCUAACAUGGAUGAUUGGUCCUACUGAAUAUUUUGGUUCCUUCAACUCCCUACCACCCACCCCCGUAAUCAUUCUCCACACAGCAGCCAGGGCUAGCUUUUAGAAAUUGAAAUCAGAUUGUAUGAGCCCUUGCUAAAACACCCCAAAGUCUUCCUAAUCACUUAGAAUAAUCUCCAAACAUCUGAGCAGAUCCUUAGAAGGUUCUAGAUCAUUUGUCCCUGCCUAUCUCUUCUACCUCAUCUCCCUCCAUUGUCCCAUAUUAACAGGUCCUGCCAUACAAGUUUCCUGUUUGUUCAAGAACACACAUCAAGUCUGAUCUGUCCUCUGGACCUUUGCACCUGCAGUGCCCUCUGCCUGAAAUGCCCAGCUCUUGGCCUGGCUUUCUUUCUUCUUUCAAGUAUCAGUUCAAGUACCACUUCCUUGACCACACAGUCUAAAGCAGUCCUCACCCCACUUCGCUCUCCAUUGGUGCUCUUAUUUUCUUUUCUAUAGCACCUUCAACCUAGAUACUUACACGUUUAUCACAGCCCCUCACUUGAGAGUGUAUGUACCAUGACGCAGGAACUUGAUGGACCUCCCCUGUGUCUCCAGCACCUUCCAGAAUACUUGGGACAAGUAGGUACUCAAUAUUUGUUGAAUGACUGAGCAUAUUAGUUUCUUAUAUCCUCCAGGCAUUUUAGAGACACUGUCGCCUGGGGAAGACACUUGGAAAUUUAACCUCUCUUGAGAAGGCAGGGAAAGCCUCGCUUCUCAUUAAUUAUUUAAAUACCUACAAAGCCUGGGAUUUCAGGAGGAUUAAGAAUCUUCCUCAUUCCACUUGUCACCGCUACAUGCUCUCAGGCCUAAUCAUAGCACCUGUGACUCUUACACCGACGGCUGGUGUCUGGUCUCCUGAGAGCCUUAGUGUAGCAAGAAAGCAUCUACAGACUGUUAACACUGGCAUCUUUUGAGAUUUUAAUUAUUGGAGUAUUUUUUUUCUAUCUCAUUCAUGGUCAGGAUUUUGAUUAACUUGUAAGUGGGAGCUUUGGCAAUUAGAGGAGUUUGGAGGAGGGUGUUUAGGGCUGGUAAGAAAUGCCAGGGCCGCCCUUAGCUGCUAGUGCAGGAAUUGGCGGUAUGCCAGCUGCCUCCCCCAUCUUUGCAUCCAUCUACACCCCAUGUGGGAGGAUGGGCACGCAGCAGGAUUGUUGGCUGCAAUGGGUCGUCGGACUUGCUGGGAGCUCUCUGCUUCCCAGAUAUUUCUUUCUGUCUACGGCAUCUUUGUGGAUGCGGGAGUCUCCAAGUUUUCAGCAGGUUAGGCCAGCAGGCAGCAGCUCACUCUGGUGUUAUGUAGUUGGAGCACCUUCUUCUCAGCACUUGGGCUUCCAUCCAGGCUGCCUCAGCGCUUCUGAACGACCAAGGUCUGGAAAUAGUUCAUCCACGGAGCUGGCUUGGCAGAGGCAGGCUGCUCAGCUGAGCAGUGCGGCGGCUCUGACUGCUCUCUCCUCAGGGGUCCCAGGUCCACCCAUCGCUUCUCACCUCCUCCUAUUCUGGGCUUUCAGAGCCCAGUUCUGCAUUUAGAUGUAGCUUUGCAGGGAGAUAGGUCUGGGUUUGAACCUUUACCAACCUGUUUAACCCUCUGAGCCUCAAUUUCUUUAUCCGUAAGAUGGGGACGAGAACCACAACCUACCUCACAAGUUUUUGAGAGGAUUGAAUGAGACACUGGGUGCAAAGUGUCUAGAACAGUAAAUGUCAGCUGUUAUCAUUUGGGUUCAAGUUUAUGUGUGACACCUUAAGCCAGUUCACCCUCUGGGUCUCAGCUUUCUCACCUAUAAAUUGAGGAUAAUGCCUCUUGUAGUUGUGUGAUAAUGAAACGAGGGUGCAAGAUAAAUUGUCAAGCAUUUUCCAAAUGCGGCCUGAUUUCAUCAGUGAGUCUUUGACUUGCAUCUACCUCUGGCCAUGAAGUUAAGUUGAAUUUCUCACAAAACCCUAAACAUGGACAUGUUGUCUGCCUUACUCGUGAAAAGAAUGUAGAAAUAUAGAAUGGGGCGGGCUAUAUGCAAACACUGUUGGGAAGUUAAAAAAAAAAAGGCAAAUAGCAUUAAAAUGAUUAUUGCAUGAGUGACCAGACUUUCGUCCCUCAGGGGAAAAUAUUUCCCAAUUUGCUUAGAGUAGCAAAAAAGAGGGAAAAAAAAGAUUUGAUGGUUAUUUCAAAUCUGUCUCCCCCAGGGAAAUUAAAUCUGAGUUAUGAGGUAUUUUUCAUGAAGCCAGAGUCUAGCAUAAAACUAACAAUUAAAAAAACCACUGUGAGAUGACCAUAAGUGGAUUCGGACGGAAUUGUCCUUAGCACAGGGAUGCGGGAGCACACCGUCAUCCCUGCCACAGAACUUCCUCCGACCCCCGCCCUACCCCACAUCCUUGGCCUGGUGGGGUCUGGGUACAUCCUUUAGGAGUUAUGUCACCUGCCAUGUUCCCAUCGCCCUGCAGGCAGGGACCUCCCAGUGUUCACAGCUGGUAAACUGACAGGCCUCCUCAGUCUCUGUCACUCCCACCGGCCCUCCUCAUCCCCAGCAGGAAUUGGUGCUGCUGUGAGGACCGCAAAGGCAGCGGGGCAUUUUUAUUCUGAAGUAACAAGUUAUUACAUGUAAACCAUGGUUUCUGUUUUUAUUUUUUCAAAAAUGACACUGAGUACUUUUCCCAGAAACCUGAUUGUUUUUAGCCUCAUCUUUGGUCUUCUCUCCUAUGGGCAGUUUCAAAGGUCAGGGGCGUUUCUCAUUUGAAUCUCCCCAGCACCCCUUUCUGAAGCAGAGCCGUCUUCUCUGUAGGGAACCCAUGCAAGGGGAGCUCACUUUGCCCAUUCGCAGGACCCAGAACUGGCCAAUCCUUGUAUCCUACACUCUUGGCCAUUGUGGCUGGUUCCCAUAGGCACAUGAGGCAAAUCAAGCAAAUCAGGAGCUUCCUUGGAUCUUUCCUGAUAUUGCAAUUGGCAAAGGCCGUGUCUUUCCCCUGGGGUUGUCAGGCUGGGAGGAUUUCAGUCUGAGGCUGCUGGUAGCCAUGAGGCCAGGGCCUGCCUGAGAGACAAGAGAUCUCUGAUAGCAUUGUUGGCACUCUGGAUCAAGCCCUGCCUGAAGCCACUACAGUAGGGCACUAUGUGAACUAAUAAAUACCCUCCAUGUCGCUUUUUUUGAAGGGGGUUUCUGUCACUGUCAACUGCAAACAUCUUGACUGAUACAGUUAGAUUAGCCUCUGUGUUAGGUUUUUUGAAAAUUCUUGAAGAAUGGCUAAGAUGGAAUGAAUGCGGUGUAAAGAAACGUGAAAUAGAGGGGAGCAUACAGGUUAAAUUUGGAAUUUCCUUGAAAAAUAAUGCCUCCCAUUUACUGAACACCUGCGAGUGCCACACAUUUUAUAUACCCCAUCUUCUUGGCUUCUCACUGCCAUCCUGCAGGUUGUAUUAUAACCAUUUUAGAGAGCAGCAAACUGAGGCUUGGAGGAACUAAGAGACUUGCCAAAGACCACUCAGGGAGGAAGUAGUGGAGCCAGGAUUUUGCACUCGAGUUUUUGGUGAAACAACUUCCAUCCUAUAGAUCUAAGACUAUUGCUUACUCAUUCAUUCAGCACUUAUUGGACAUUAGGUAUUUGCCAGGCAGGAUGUUAGGCACCGGGGAUAUGAAAUGAAUAUGAUAGCGCACAUCCUUCAGCUGCUCAGAGUCCAGUGGGGGAGACCCCCAUUAGGGUCAUUAUUAUGGGUUGAAUGGUAUCCCCCAAAAAGAUAUCUUGAACUCCUAACCCCUGGUAUGCGUGAAUGUGAGAUUCUUUGGGAAUAGGGUCUAUGCCCAUGUGAUCAAGAUAAGGCGAGGCCAUUAGGGCAGGCCCUAGUCCAGUAUGACUGGGUCCUUCUAAGAGGGAAAUUUCGACCCCCGGACCCACGGGAAAAGGCCACGUGAAGCUGGAGGCAGAGAUUGGAGUGAUGCUUCUCCAAGCCAAGGAACACCAAGGAUUGUCCUCUGUCACCAGAUGCUGGGGGAGAGGCAUGGAACAGAUUCUCCCUACGAGCUCUCAGAAGGAACCAGCCCGGCCAACACCCUGAUGAAGGACUUGCAGCCUCCAGAACUGCGAGACAAGACAUUUCGGUUGUUUUGAGUGACUCAGUUUACGACAGCCCUAGAAAACAAAUACAGUCAUCCAGGGUUCCACCUCCAGGAACCUGUGUUGAUUUGAAUCUCGUCUAAGAUUGCUCUGCCUGUGGCCCCCCCAGCUGACAACCUGGGACAAGCCUCUGCAGCCUGUAGUCCCACCCUCCCAUCCAUCACACCUCGCAGGUGGGCUCCUCCCAGCCACAGCUCCCUGUCCUCUUUGCCACAGAUGAGUGAAGCCACUGGGUCCCGGAUUGCCCAGCACCAGGACGCACCCUGUGUGACAAUGCUCCCCUCCCCCGACCUCUGAACACACUCUGGCCCCAAUAGCCGCCCGGGGCCCACAGUUUGCUUUGGACAGGCAAGUACCUGGAGGCAGCGGACAGCUAAUACCAGGGCGUUGCCCUUCCUUUAUAUUCCAAAGCUGUUCUGUUUCCAGGAUACGAGUCUCAUGAUUCCUCCUUUGUGAUUAAUGUUGAAGCCAUUUCUUGAUGUACUGUCUUAAUAACACGGUGAAGGCAAACAGCCUUUGGUUGGCGAAUGUGACAGCACUUUUAUCUGACCAGCCUCACCCUGGCCUAUUCCUGCAAACCAGGUAGGCAGCAUGUGGAUGUGGAAGACGUGAAACGAGGGGAAAUAAAGUCUGAAUUAAUCGGCAAUUUGCCUAGGCUGGUGAUUAGCUAUAAUUUGGACCUGCUGCCUAGCGUUUUAAGCGCUGGCCCAACUUCCUUUAGUUUUUGACUGUCUUGAAAUGCCAACAAAACUCUCCUAAUGAGAAGCAUUUACCUGCUGAUGUGUUUGGAGGGCAAAACGCCAGCUCAUUAAACGUGGUGAAGCCUCCAGUAGCUAAAGCUUUCCUGGUGGGUGAACUUAAACUUUCCAUACUCCUAAAGAAGGGGGCGACGUCAGUUAUAAUUAUUCCCAAGUGGGUGUCCUCCUGUCAACACCUCAAGGCCAAGGCCCUGAUCUUGCUUUUUUAAUUUUUGUACCUUUAAGAACAUCUAACAGAGUGGGUACUUCAGGCCUGCUGGUUGGCUUAAGUACAGGGAUUUAAUUCGGGCCACUGUGACCCUAGUAUGUUUUUAUCACACAUGGUGGUUAAGAAUUUAGGCUUUGGAGCUUAAGAGGCAGGCUGCCUGGAUUAGAAUGCAAGCUGGCUGUGUGACUUCGGGAAGGUGAGUUAACCUCUCUGAGCUUCAGUCUCUUAUCUGCAAAAUGAGUUGUUAGAAUGAGUCAAUGAGAUAACGUACCUGAAGUGCUCAGCAAUCAACAAAAAGAGCCAUUAUUAUUAACUGGUAAUUGGAAGAUCCGGACUUAGCCAGGUUUGUCUGACUCCAGAACCCAGGCUGUUGCCCAUUUUGGGGCUCAGCAUGACUUCCACUGGAUUUCUCUCCACCAUAGGGUGAGCUGGCAUAACCAGACGCAGGACCAGCAGCCACGUGCUGGAAGAGCCAUGCUGGACAUGCUAAAUCCUUUCUCAGAUGCCUGGACAGAGCUCCCUAAGCCCCCAAAAUCACAGCCAAGAAGCCCCAUACUCCCACCCAAGUUGGUCAUGCAGAAAUCUCGGGAGCGUCUCUGUCUCUUUGUGGGAAGAGAGAAGAUUUCCAGACUCCUUUCGGGUCUCUCUCUCUCCCAGGGCUUGUCAAAGUCCCCUGUUGUGAGGACAGGAGCUCAAGGAGAGAAGACACACUUUAGGGUCCUACUCAGCUCCCCUCCCCCAGAGGUACAGGCGACUGUGGCCUCUCAGAUCUGGAAGCAGUCUUCCCAGCUCUCCAUCCGUACUAGUUUCUUAUGGCUGCCAUAACAAAGUACCAAAAACUGAGUGGCUUAAAACAGAAAUUUAUUGUCUCACAGUUCUGGAGGCUAGAAGUCCAAGAUGAGGGUGUCGGCAGGGCCGUGCUCUCUGACAGCUCUAGGGGAAAACCCUUGCUGGCCUCUUCCAGCUUCUGCUGUUUGGAGUGGUCCUAGGUCUUCCUUGGCUCCUUAGAUGCAUCACUGCGGUCACAUGGCCAUCUUCUCCCUGUGAGUCUUCACACAGUGUUUCCUCUGUGCAUGUCUGUGCAUGUGUCCAAAUUUCUCCUUUUUAUAAGGACACCGGUUAUCUUGGAUCAGGGUCCACCCUAAUGACCUCAUUUUACCUUGAUUUUCUCUGUUAAGACCCUAUUUCCAAAUAAGGUCACAUUCUGAGUUACUGGGGGUUAGAACUUUAGCAUUUCUUUCUUUGGGAGGCGGAAUUCAACUCACCACACCAUCUGUGAUGGUUAAUUUUAUGUGUCAACUUGGUUAGGCUAUCACACCCAGCUAUUUGGUCAAACAUUAUUCCAGAUAUUUCUGUGAAGGUAUUUUUUAGACAAGAUGGACAUUUAAAUCAGUCGAUUUUGAGUAAAGCAGAUUACCCUCCAUCCGAUCAGUGAAAGGCCUUAACAGAAAAAGAUUCACGUCCCUCGAAGAAGAGAGUAUCCUGCCUGCAGGCGACCUUGGUACUCAAAGUGAAAUCCUUCCCUGGAUGUCUAGCCUCCCGGCCUACCCUGCAGAUUUUGGACUGGCCAAGCCUCCACAAUCAACUGAGCCAAUCCUUAAAACAAAUUCUCUCUCUAUAGAUAGAUAGAUCGAUCGCUUGAUAGAUAGAUAGAUCAAUCUAUCUAUGGCUAGGGAUCUAUAUCUGUAUCUAUAUCUCAUAUAGAUAGAGUUGGUUCUGUUUCUCCAUUGAUUCUGUUUCUCUGAAGAACCCUGACUGAUACACCAUCCAAGGGUCCCUUGGCGAUGGUGCCACGAUCGUAGCAAGGCUGGCAAUGCCUCACCCAGACAGAGGAGAAUGCCUGGGGCUGCCUUUCAACUCACCUCACUGUAAACAGUCAGUCAACCAGCAGACACGCAUUUCUGAGCCUUCGAUUUUUAUUAAUCCCUCGGCAAAGGAAGUUUGGACAGUUCAGUCUCAGUGUGAAUUGCAUUCAGAGACCAUGGAGAAGGGACAAGAAGAGAUUCCCUAGCUUCACAAGCUGGUGUGGUUCUGGAGCUGCUGUUCUGUACAAGGAGGACAGAAACACUCAUUUAAAAUAAUGCAUAAAAUGUUAAAGUCUGUCACAUUGUUCAUUGUCUAGUUACCUUUUGCUGUCUAACAAACUGCUUCAAAAUUUACUGGCUGGAAACUAUAACUAUUUAUUUAUUUGUGACUCUGAGGGUCAGCAGUUCAUGCUGGGCUCAACAGGGUGGUUCUCCUGCUUGAUGGCUUCUGGAGUCAUUUAUGCAGCUUCUGUCACCUGGUAGAACUGGGUGUCUUACUUAGUUGGAGCUGCUGUAACAAAAAUACCAUAGUCUUUGUGGCUUACACAAAAGAAAUUUACUCCUCCCAGUUCUGAAAGCUGCGAAGUCGAAGGUGAAGGUGCCAGCUGAUUCCCUGAGGGCUCUUCCUGGUUUGUGGAGGGACACCUUCUUGCUGUGUUAUCUCAUAACAAGGACAAAGAUCAUCUCUCUCCCGCCUCCCCUUAAAAAGGCAUCAAUCCCGUUCAGGAGGGCUCCUCUCUCAUGACCUAAUUACCUCCCAAAGGUCCCAACUCCAAAUACCAUUACACGGGCCAUUAUGGCUUCCACAUGUGAAUUUGGGGGAAAAGCGAGCAUUCUGUCCGUAGCACUGGGACGAGAUGGUCCAAGAUGGCUUCACACACAUCUGGCCAUUGGUACUGGCUGUUGCCUGGGCUUCUCUCUCCAUUCGAGUUCUCAUCUUCAAGAUAGCUAGCCUGGGCCUCUUUACCUGGUGGUCCUGUGUUCUAAGAAGGUGAGAGUAGCAGCUGCUAGGCCCCUUAAGACCUAGACUCAGAAGUCACCAAAACAUCACUUCCAUUGUAUUCCUUCAGCCAAAGCAAGUUACAAAGUCUUCUUCUGUUCAAGGUGAGGAAGAAUGGACUCCACCACUUGACAGGAGGUGGUGCAACGAUGUUCACGCACUGAUGUGAGGAUUUAUUACAGCCAACUUUGCAAACAAUCUACCACGUUUACUGAGCAAAUUAAAUCAGUGAAUGUAAAGGGCAAGUUAUGUCAGGAUACAUCAACAGAGGUGACAGCACGACACUGAUCAGACCCAGAGAUCAGAGGGGCAUUUCAGACGUGUGAGGACAUUGCUGUUUAUUACGCCAUUUGAUUGAGAACCCGGCAGGGAAGGUCUUUGGGAUCCGCCUGAUUCAAAGUCUAGUCUAUAAAUUUUUUCCUGUGAAAUUAGAUAUUUGCCUCAUCUCUGUUACAGCACAGCCAGAGGCAUCUGGCUGGGCCUGCUAACUUAUGUUCUUAGAUUUUCCUUGGCAGAAAUUAAUUUCUUUUUCUUAAGAAGUUUUUUUUCUCACUCCAAGGCUGAGUCUUUGCGUUAAUACCGGGGAUCCACAAUUCAUAAAUUUGUACCUCUUGGUUCAUUGUUUCAAAAUGAGACUUUUAAUAGAUUCCAAAGACUUAAUAAGAGUGCCGCCUAGUCACAUAAUGAAGCUACUGUGCACGUGGCUGACAGGUAGUAAUUUAUUAUUAUCCAUGUCUCUGAUAAGAGCUGUGCCAUGCACAGUGGGUGCCUAAUAAAUAUUAGCUAUUACAACAUAAGCGAUGGAAGAAAGUUUGUCCCUUUGUGUCUCAGCCAACCGUUCAUAACACAUUCUUCUAUUACCAUUGUAUCUAUUUUCUGUUAAUUUUAUCAAUUAUAUGUAGAGGGGAACUAUAGCCAUGUGUCUUUAUUAUUGUGAGUUUAAAUGUCCUAAUUUAUCCUGCCACUGUGUUUUGCUUAGCAGAGCAAGUCACAAUAUUUUUCUGUCCCUGCAGUGAAAGACUGCAGUAAAUUGAUCUUGCUAACAACAGAUAAUUAUUAGCUUCCUCAAGAAUUUUACUGUAUAUGCAUUGCUAAGCAUUCCAGGAGGAUUAAUAUUUCUAAGAAUUUUGGACAAGAUGAGGUAUCGGCCAAAAGAGAGGGCUGUUUUAAUGUUGGCCCUUGCUCCUGUUGCAUAUCCACCACCGAUCAUUUGUUAAUGCUGCUUGUGUUUCAAUCUGUGGUCACUCCAAGAAUGAAUGCUCCUCUGCUGACUAAUACACCCAGUUCCAAAGGGAGAAGCAGGCAACUCAGAACACUGGACGAUGCCGGCAGUCACCAGGUAUGCAUCCAAGAGCGACAUCUUCACAGGGUGAUGCUUUUCUGAAAAGUCGGCAGUGAAACGGCAAAUUUUAAAGCACGGUUCAUUGAUGUUCAAGGGUUUCUUCUUCAGAUGAGCAGAGCUAUUCUGGCACUUGGAAUUGCACAGUUUUUUUAAAUUUUUUUCUUCCUUAUUUGUUUGUUAUGUUGUCAUUGGGAGCAGGCAGAGGAAAGGCAAGGGGUUUUAAGAUUCAGCAGAGGACUGCUGAGAGUCAGAGCUCGGUGGGGCUGGAAAGUCUUUGCCAAGCUAAGGGUCCAAAAGAAAUGGAAACCUUCUGAAACAUCCGGUCCAUUCAUACAUUGAUUAUAAAUAGAUGCCUAACCAGACUGCACUGACAUAUGUAUUAAAACCAUUUAAUUGGGGGCCGGCCCUGUGGCUGAGUGGUUAAGUUCACGUGCUCUGCUUCAGCAGUCGCAGGUUUCGCCGGUUGGGAUCCUGGGCGUGGACAUGGCACUGCUCACCAGGCCACGUUGAGGCGGUGUCCCACAUAGCACAACCAGAGGCACUCACAACUAGAAUGUACAACUAUGUACUAGGGGGCUUUGGGGAGAAGAAGAAGAAGAAAAAAAGAAGAUUGGCAACAGAUGUUAGCUCAGGUGCCAAUCUUUAAAAAAAAAACCCAGUUAAUUCUUUUAAUACAUUUCUAGUGAAUUUUCUAUUUAGGAAAACUUUGGGUAAACCACAAGUAGGCAAAUGUUGAUUUAUUCCCUUAGGGUUGGAAUGAGGGUUGGGUCUGGGUGGGCCUCUCUGGAGGAAGUGAGGGCUGGGUGAGGCGGUAGGCCUGAUGGGAGGUGAGGCAGGAGGGGAGGCAGCCCCAGGUCUGUGGGAUUCAGCCCCAUGCUAUGUAGUUUGGCCAACGGAGGGCACAGAAGGCAUUAAGAAAGGCAGAGACAGGGUCAGGUAGGUUGCAGCGGGAAGGGUAACUUAGGCAUCUUAGGUUGGGUUGCAGAGAAGCUGAGCCUGAGACAGGCUUCUUGGGCAAGGAGUUUCUUGAGGGAACGCCCUCAGGUGAAACAUGGAAGGGUUUGAGGGAGACUUGAACAUGACAGGCUAAGAUGUGGUCUAGCCUCAGGCUGAUCCCAUGGGGAGCUCUGGAGCGUGAGGGCCAGCCUUGUGCCUCAUUAUCAGGCAGCCGUGGCUGUGGGCUGUCCCCAGAGGGAAGGCAUUUUCUCCUGGUGAAAAAGCUUAGUGUUUUUCUCCCAGGGCAAGUCCCAGGAGAAGGGAGCAGCUGUGAGCUGUUAGCAGCCCCCAGUCAAGGGGAUGUGGGUGAGGCACCAAGCACAUCUACUUCCAGAGGGAAGCAAGAGCAGUGGAGCAGGCUCUCAGCAUCCUCCGAGAGGGGGGAGACUGCGGCAUGCCAUGGCCAUAAAGGAAAGGGCAAAGCAGUUCUUGUAAUGGAAGAAGCAUUAGGCUUUCUAGAGAGAGCCGCUAAGUAAGGGAUGAGAACAACAUGACAUUACCCGCGGUUCGGCUGAGGGCAAAAUCUAAGAGCUGUAUCCAUCAACCACGAAGGAAAGACGCCCACAGUUCAGAAUUACCCAGAGGUAAAGGGAGUGGGAUUUGGGUAACAUUGAGGUAUGUGUCAAGCAAGGCAGAGAAGGGGCUAUGCCAACAUUCUAAAAAUAAAUGAUUCUCUCCUGUUUCCAUCCGAGGUGCUCAAGGUAAUUUGCAAACAUUUGCAGGCAAGUUUUUUCCGGGCUGAACUGCAGGCAAAGCUCCCACUGACUUCACAGGGAGCUCCCAGGGGACACGCAGCAAGGCACAAAGGUGCUCACUGAUGAUCAGGCCUGGACAGGAGGAAAUGUCUCUAGAACACUCUUUAGAUCCCUCUGGAUCAUGGUGGAGGAAGGAUGGAUAAAUGAAUGAGCAGGUGUGUAUUGACCUUCACCAUGUGCAAGGUGCUGUGCCACAGCUGGGAAAGGUACAAAGAAUUCUGGAACGCUUUCCUGACCCUCAGAGUCUGAAAUCUCGCAGAAGAGGCCCAUCUAUGCCCAAGGUUAGCAGCACAGCUUUGGAGCCAGAUGGCCUGGGUUUGAAUCUUGGCUCUGCCACACUGACUCUUGGACCUUAGGCAAGUUAUGCAACCUCUCUGUGCCUCAGUUUUCUCAUCUGGGGUUAACAAUAGUAUGUACCUCAUACGGUCGUUGUGAGGAAUAAACAUAUUAAUGAAAGAGCUUAAAACUUGGUCAUUACUCUUAUAAAUGAGAGCAAAGCAGCAAACAUUUAUAAACUAUUCACAGCUGAGUGCUGUACAUGCUUCAUCUCAUCUGAUCCACAAACGACAUGUGAGGUGGGGACCGCCAUUAUCCCCAUUUUACCGACAAGGAAAUGGAGGCUCAGAGAAGUUAAGUAAGUAACUUGUAUAAAACCACAAAGUUAGGAAGUGGUAGAGGUGGGAUUUGUACCCAGAGCUAAGGCACUUAGCCAUGAUUCUAGAAUGUGUCUCCUAUAAGAAAAUCAAUGAGGGCCAAAUGCUUUAGGUUCUCAGAGAACCGAGAGCUCUCUGGGAACUGGGGCGAUCAUGGUAGGUUUCUGCUGAGUCUUCCUUUUUGAUGUAGGAGGAUCAUUUAUAUAUUCAGCCAUAUUUAUUGAGCAUGUAAUAUGAUCGGGCACAGAGCUGGAGACCUUGUGAGUGAUGCAUGGUUUCUACUCAGUUUAAAAGGGAAGACAUCAACGAUCGAAGGCUGCAGCAGCAGGGAGCGGGUCAUGCUGAGCAGGGCCUGGAGGCAGGAGUGGGCGAAUCUUUCAGGGAUGGGAAGAUAUGGACGAAGGGAGCAGGGCAAGGGAGCAUCCCUAAGGAGGUGAAGGCUAUGGCACAACAUGAGCAAAGGCUCAGAGGGAUGAAACAGCUCAAUGAAACCCUAAGUAUUUACAUAGUUGAAGCCACGCGUGACAGUGGGUAGGAUGGGAAGAAAUAAUUAUACUAACUGACACCCUUUGAAUGCACAUGAUGUCUUCUGCACUCUCUCUUUUAUUCUCUCCCUGGAGUGGGCAAACUAUGGCUUGUGGGCCAAUUCCAGGCCACCACCUGUUUUUGUAUGGCCCACAAGCCAAGAAUGAUUUCUACAGAUGAACAUUUGUAACUGAUUUUGAUGAUGAUUUUGAACCCUAAUUAAGCAAAAUGUUAUCCUUCCCCCGAAAAGAGCACUCCAUUGUUACUAGCAGACCCGUGUUACAAAAAAAUUGUCCUUGAUUAUUAUUAUAUUUUGAAAUUUGUCAAUAAAAUACGUUGUGGAAAUUAAUUCUCUCUCUAGUUAUGUAAGUACCUACAUAAUAGUCUUAAUUUUGUAUCUUGACCUACAAAACUUGAAAUAUUUACAACCUGGCCCUUUAUAGGAAAAGCCUGCCAAAGACUGUUCCUUCCAAAUGCCCAGGAGGCAUUGUUCUUAUUUAAGGAUAAGGGAACUGAUGCACAGAAGGAUUAAUUGCAGAGCAAGCCGGGAUGGAAGUAAGAUUUGAACCCAGGCAGUCUUGUCCUAGGGGCCCAAGCUCUGAACUGCACUUCCACCAGUGUUUGCAGAGGCCUGGGGAAGAAGCUCAGGCCUGAACUAGAGCAGGGCAGAGCGAAUGGGGGAACAAAACUGCCCGGAUGUGGAGACAAGCAAGAAGAAGGAGGCAUCCCAGCUGAGCCAGGCUUCCCUGAUGUGAGCGGAACUGCGUUGGGGGCCGUGGGCACAAUGGGAGCCAGCCUUGUUUCCCAGGAAAGGACCCCUGACCAGGGGCAUUGGAUUUCUCGCUUGGAUGACUGGGCCUAUUCGCAGUGCUGCGGGAAAUGCCAGAGGAAGAGCAGGGCUGGCGAGCUGAGGGUGGGACGUUCAACUUGGACACGUGGAGCUGGAAAUGCCUGGGGGAUACAUGUGUGCGGAUGUCUAGGAGGAGGGUGGAUAACAGAGUCUGGGCUCAGGAGCUAAGAGCAGAGUUGGGAGUCAUUAGCCAUGGAGGCUGAAACCUCGGAGAAUCAGGAUUCAUACACUAAGGCAGGAGAUUAUUCCCUCCGUUAACAGCAGUUGAAGAGUUCCUCUUCUCAGAACGGGGCUGUGGACAGAGCACUUUUCAUCUUCGAAGCUCUAGGUGGAGGGGAGUGGGAGCCAUGCUCCUGGGUUCAGUGGGCCUAGGAGAACAAGGAAACAGGGCUAUUUUUUAAAUGAGUGCCCAUGUCAUUAUAUGAUGUCUCUUGUCACACACACUCACUCCAAAGGAUCAUAGAGGAUGUAUUUUUAAAACUCCGGUGUGUGUAUUAAUUUACACAGAAUUAUCUGAUUAACUUCGAAGGCUGUUGACUUGAGCAUGAAGAUUCCCAAGUAAAAGCAGAAAGAAAAUGCUCAGUGUAAUUGAGAACACAAGGAGAAUUUCCUUCCAGUGAAGUUUCAAAAAGACAAAGGAAGAAGGAGCCUCUGAUUACAUAAUUCCUACCUGGGAAAGUAAAAAUCUUUGAUUAUCUAUUUAUGGCCUGCCAUACUCAGGGCCCAGAGGAAAUCAGACAAGCCUGAAAGAAACUAAUUUCCACCACUUCUCCUUUUCCUCUCUCUUGGUUUGUGGCCUCAUAACCUUGAGGAGCUGGCCUGUGUGUGCUUCUGCAUGGCAUGAGGUCCACUUCCACAGAUCUGCUGAGGAGCAGGCCCUGCUGGCCAGGGAGAGACGGAGGUAAAGGCAAAGAGGUGGUGAAGCCAUCACCUAAAGGGAACAGGACUGAGUCAACCUUGCCAGCCGAGGGGAUUCUUACAGACCUAAUGUUUUCCUAAGAGUUCUUGGGGCAAAUAAGGAGAAAAAGAUGAGGCUGUCUGAAGUUUUAGAGGAAGUAAGGGGUAAUCAAGGUUAGGGGCAUGCCCAGUCUUUGGAAUUUUUGCCUUGGUUUUCCUUGGGCCCGCUCCUGGCCUAUAAGGUGUCUGUGUGCAACUUAUAAAAGGUGACCCCACUACCCCUGGCCCCUGAUGCUGGGCAAGCCUGAGGCUGGGACUGUUGGCGGGGUGAGGGAGAGUAGGCCCCCACUGGCCCUCUUGGGUGAGCCUAGGGCAGAGCACAGCUGCACAUCUGGCCCCCCCAGGUCCUGUGUGUCCUACUCAUUAAUUUAUAGAAGAGCAGCAUCUGGAAAGCGGGUGCCGUAGAAAACCCGAUGAUGUGGCAGGGUUCACCUAAACUUAAUGCAUGUCCGUCUCAUACACCGAUUUGUCCUUUUCCUUGGACAAACACUGUCUCAGUAGGCCUGGGGACGUCUGUCUUUUCAUGAACUCUCCUCUCCCCUGGAUUUAAUUCUAUAAGGGAUCCUCUAGGAGGCACUUUGAAAAACUGCAGCCACGCUUUGAGCUGCUAGGCUUCCACUGAAAAAAUGAUUACUUCGAUGUUCUAAAUGGAACUGGAGAUCAAAUCAAUAAGAUCUAGGAAAUCCAUUAAAAAAAAAUGCAACAUGGUCCCUUAUCUAAUAUAAGAAUGAGAUUUUCAUGAGAUGUCUUUGAAAGAGAAAAAUGCAUGUGCAUAAAUACACAACAUCUGUAUAAACUAAAACAAUUAUCUUUCCUGAUUUGAAGGAAGCAUAUAAUGUAGGUGGAGGAGAGAUUUGUAUGUUUACCUCUGAACCUGAUUUGAUUUUAAUAUCAUUCUGUCAUUUGUGAACAGUUCCCAAGCGCCUUGUCAGGAAGAGUCGCUUAUUAAGCCACUGAAAGUAUCUUAUAAAAAUAGCAGACAAUCUAAACUGUGACUCAUUCCACGAAACCCCAGUGGCCCCAGCACGACUAGCUUCUGCACCGACUUAGUUGUGCAAACAUGUGCCAGCAUCCUUUCCAUGGCAGAUUCAGUGCUGACCUCAGAGUGAAGGAAGAUUCAUAAGACAUAGCCUGAUCUGAAAGGAGUUCACAACCCAGCAGGGAGGGAGCAAAAUACUAUACAAGAUAAGGUUAAACCAUUUGAGAUCAGUUAGAAGGGAUUGCUCUGAAGUCGUAUUGAUGGAGUACAGGUCUGUGUAGAGUGUGUUAGGAACAGAGAAGAGGGGAAACUGACCCAACCUAGGGGUGCUGGGGGAUUGUCAAGACAGAGACAUUUGAACAGUGUCUUGAAGGAUACGUAAGAGUUUGAAAGUGGCAAGGGGAGUCUUUUCAGCAGAAGAGCAGCACACGCAAAGGUAUGGAGCUAUGACUUUGCACAGCUAAUAAAGGAACAGCAAAGAGCUCUCCAUCGCUAGACAGCAAGGUGUAUGUGAAACUGACAAAGGAUGAAACUGGGGAAAAAAGCAGGCCAGACUCAGUGUGAAGGUGAGCCCUGAAGGUUUUCAGGCUGAGAAAGGCAUGAGCAGAUUGGUGUUUUAGAGGGAUUCAUCUGAUGGCCUCUGAUUUGCAGAAUAGACCUCUCAAUGAGAUCCACCUUAAGUGUGAUCCAUGGUGUGGUGGUGUUUUUCUCACUGAUUCAGAAAAUUAAUCCAUUUCCUAGAGUUCUUGGCUUAGACUCAGGAAGUGUUUAUACCCUAGAACAGAGGUCUGCAAACUAUGGCUCAUGGGCCAUAUCUGGCCCACCAGCUGUUUUUGUAAAUAAGGUUUUAUUGGCACAUAGCCACAUCAUUCCAUCCAGUAUCGUCUGUGGCUGCUUUCGCAUUCUGGCUGAUUUCGAAGCUGAGUUGAGUAGUUGCAACAAAGACUGUAUGACUACAAGGCCUGAAAUACUUACGAUUUGGUCCUUUACAGAAAAAGUUUGCUGACCCUUGCCCUUUGGUUCUUUGAAGUCUUUGCCAUCUUUCUCAUCAGAUGGGAAACUUCAGAGACAACCUUGAAGUUUAGCCUCAUUACCUUUUGUACUGCUUGCUUCCGCCUUUAUCAAGUGGCCCAAUUCAGUUGCUCUCUUCAAGCCGGUAGUGAGAAACACAGGGGAGAACCACGUACGAAAGAGGCCAUAAGACAGCGAGCACAAGGAGCCAGGCAAGUCUGGUCAAACCACUUCAUUUCUUCUCUACUGGAGUCCCUGCAUAUGAGAUCAACAGCCUGCCACCGACACCAAGCAUAUUGAGGGCAGCAGAGUUCGGAAACCCCUCACCAGGUCCGCUUGGGCAGGGAGGAACUGAUUAGGUGGUUCUGGUAAUAGACCAACACUGGCCCCCUAAAUGUACAGAUUAAUGGGCUGACAUCAAUCUUAGGGAGAUCUUUAACAUGUUCCUGUAAGAUUCCGGACUUACUCCUGUCCUCUUCAGCAUUUCUAUUGGAACACAUAAAUCAGAAGCCGUGUUAUCAAUGUGGAGUUUCCCCCUAUCUGGGGGAAGUGGGACAGCUAAUAACUGGCAUUGCUUUGUCAGCAUCAGUGUUUCAAAAAAUUCUUGAUGAGGUAGAGCAGUGUCCAAACUCUGCUCUCUUCCAGAGGGACAGUUUCUCCUAAGUGAGGAAUGUGAGUCUUAGAAGGUCCACCCCUAACAUCCAUGGGCCCUGGGGCAAGAGUAUAAACGGAGGCCAGCACACCAUAUGUCCAAAUACUUAGAAGUUAUAAAUCAAGCUAACAAACUGCUAGACAAGACGUAUUCUCUCCUCCUACCUUGACAAAUAUACCUUCUUCACCACCUAGAAGCCCAGAUUCAAAUUCAGAAUUCUCUGACUACUCGGAAUCUUAAAGCUGGAACAUGGCGGCUUGGAGAGAGCCAGUCCUCACCUGGCGCUCCCAGCUCUUGACCCACCUUUUUACUUUCUGACCUGCUCUUGGGCUCCUCAGUCACUUCUCUCCAGUUGCUUUCUCUUUACUGCUUCACCAGUGAGAGCUAUCAUUUGGUGCCAUUCAUCCGGUUCUGCCCUCUGGCUUCUAUGCUUAAACCCAAUUCCUACUUCCACCACUGAUUCAUUGGUUUCCAGUCUCUUCAGGUAACCCCCGGUUUAGUGCUUACAUUUGGUAUAUCCCCAGGCAAUCGUGUCCCUGAUGGAUUCUCCCCAUGGCUAGGAAACAGAACCUGGCCAACUCUCACCCACCUUCCAGCUCCUGUUCCCUCUCCCCAACUCCCACCGGUGCCAAUGUCUCCUGACCUUAAUUACAAAGAAUGAACACAUACUUCAGCAAAUUUGGGGCAGCCAGGGGUGGUAGGUAGUCCCACCCAGAAGCAAUAUAUUUCUUUGAAUGCUAGUGUUUUUAUCUUCAAAGGGUCACAUGCUUUAAGAAAAGUUUUAAUCACUGAGAUAUGAUUUAUGUAUAACAUACAUUCAAAAAAGUACACAAAACAUAAAUAUACAGCUUAACGAAUUAUCACAAGGCAUAUGACCACCAGGUAAACAAAUGCCCAGAAGCCCCCCACCCUCUGUGCCUCACUGUCUUCUCCCCAAGGGAAACCAACCACUAUUCUGACUGCUGAUGCUAUUGUUCAGUUUUGCCUGGUUUUGGAGUUUUUGUAAACGGAAUCAAACACUGCUAAUUCCUUUGCAUCCAGCUUCUUUCACGCAACAUAUCUGUGAGAUUUAUCUAUGAUGUUUUGUGUAGUUCUAGUCCACUCGUUUUCAUUGCUGUGUGUCCAUCAUAUGAGUACACCACAAUUUAUUUAUACAUUUCAUAGUCGAUGGGCACUUAGGCUGUCUCCAGUUGUUGAUUAUUAUGUCUAAUACUAAACAUUCUUGUAAAUAUCUAUUGGUGUACCUGAGCACGAAUUUGGGACUGUAUCUAUCUCAAAGUCUGUUGCUGUAUCGUGGGUUUUGCAUAUUUCAACUUAGUCGAUACCUCCAAAGAGUUUUCCAGAGUGGUUGAACCAAUCUGUACUCCCACCUUCAGUGUCUGUGGUUUCUUGUGGCUCCACAUUUUCAUAGGGUUUUUCUUUUAUUCUUCUCCAUGAUAUAUCCAUGUUUGUUUCCAUGUUGAAAAAUGUUACACAUUUUUUUCCAAAAAGGGGAAAUGAUGCUUCUGAAAGGCCUACAAAGUUUAUCGUGAGGCUUCACUUGUCCCAUGUUGGAGGAGCUCAGCUGUAUAUUAACCAAGCUGACCUCUAGAAGGUUCUUUGCUCCAUCAUGACCUUUUGGCCUUUUACCAAACAGUUUCAUAUUCAGGGAACAGCUUCUCUCCUCUGUCUGGCAUAGAACCUGCAUUAUAUUGACUGAAUAUGAAGAGAUCCACCACUGACCUUUGAUCCGUUUUGCCAAGACAGCAUUUAUCUGAAUAAUCUUAUUUUGACUACAGGUUCAUCUAUUUGUUGCUUAGAUCAACCUCUGUGUCAUUUCGAGGAAACAGACCAUGUACUUCUUUAAUAUACAACUCCAUCACCUGCAAGAAGUCUUGGGACCCCAUGGGGAGUAAUCAGUAUUUGCUAACCGACUGACUGCUCAGUGUAGCCUAAAAUCCAUCUUUAUUUUUAUAUGAUAGUUUAAGUGAUUUAAUGAGUGGCUGUCACUGACAAGGCACUUGGGGACUGUGCAUAAAAUGACACAAUAAUAUAAAAAUAAAGCUUUGCUCAGAGACUAAUACACAGAACUGCCUUCCGUGUACACAUUACUCUUUCUCCUAGAGGAAACAAUUCUUCCUUUGGUCAAGUGCCGUUGUUUUAUUGACAGAAAUAAGUAAAUCCACAUUUCCUUCUGCUGCCUUAUUUGAAUGCUUACGAAAUCAGGACUCAUAUAUAAUGUUCAUUUCAGCAAUGAAUAUGCAGAAAGUGCUGCAUCUCUUUAUUUAGGGAUUUUAAACAUUGCAGUCAUGUUCAUCGUGGUGACUGUAGGCUUUUAUAUCUAAGUCAGACUCAUUUCUCAAAGUCAUAUUUAAAUAUCUCAAACAGUAGUGUUGGCCUCUUGGGUAUUACACAACAUACAACCAAAGAAGGAAGGUUAACCUCGCCAAAAAAAGUAUAAAGAAAUGGUGCAGCUGUGGAUAUUUCAUGUUUAGGAAGCAGUGGGAUCAGGCAAAAGAAGAACAGAGAAUUCUAGGGGAGCCAAGCUCGCAAUGAGAAUCUGGAUGUGGGCUUCAUCUUAGAGGAGAGCGUGGGAGUUCUUCUCUAACUUAAUGAUGCUCUGAGUGAGGUAGACAAUUUUUUCUCAGUUGCAUGUUUUGUAGGCAAGGUUUCUCUUCUCCUCCUUUCAAUAAUUUAAAUGCCAAAUACUGACAAUCCAGAUGGUGACCUGGACCUAAGCGCACACGUGGUUUCACAGCCAUGGCUUUGCUCCUGAGUUUAGGUUUUAGGAUAGUUUCAUUCAUUCAUUGAUUUAUUCAUUUGUCCUUUUAUUCAUUUGUUUAGUUAAGUGGUCAGGCAACAAAUACCUACCCAGCACCUACCACAUUGCAAGUGUUGUGUUUGGUGCUCAGAGUACAAUGACGCGUCCUACUCAGACAUUUUUCAAAUAAUCACACAAAUAAUAGUAAAAUUGCAUCUGUGUGAGUGCUCUAAAGGAAGAAAGUGGUACGAUGAAAAUGUGUAUUAGAAGAUCAGGGAGGCCUGGGAUAUGUCCUUGAGGAAGUCAUGACUGGGCUGAUAUCUGUUAAAUGAGCAGGUGAAUCAACUAGGUGAAAUGGGGGGAGGGGAGGAAAUGAGAGGCUUGUGCAAAGGGCCUGUGGUAGGAGAGAGUAUGACUUACAUGUGGAUGAGCAUGAAGGUCAGUGCAGGAGGAGUGGAGAGAGCAAAGGGUGUGCGCAGGACCUUCUUCACGCUAAAGGAGCUUUGUCCUUAUCUUAAGAGCAAAAUUGACACAUGGGGAAGAACAGGUGGACAGGAAGGGAUCCAAUGUCACAGUGUGGGUUGUGGGACUCAGAGGCACACCAGGAAGAAGGUUUUAGAACUUGCCUUUACACAGUCCCUAGUCAGCAGCUUGACUCAAUUACAGGUAUCCCCCAACAGCUGUUAGCUGUCGGGCAGGCUGGUUUCCCAGGUCUGAGUGGAUAAUAGAGAGGAUGCUCAGGGGUGGCAGAGGGACACGCUCCAGUGGUCCGGAUCUGCUCUCUCCUCUGUGCACAAUGAGCCAUUUGGGCAGGAAGCCACGCUUGCUGCUUGCAGAUCUGAAUGUGUUUAGCUGUAACGGUCUGACAGGGAAGACUGGUUGCAACUUUAAUAGAACCCAAGGCACCCACCCAACUGGCAUAAUCUCUCCCCUGAAAGGUAACGUGUGGCCUUUGUGUGCUGGGGCUUCAGUUUACAACCGAGAUUAAAUAUAGACAAAUUCAAAAUAUAAAUGUUCUUGAUUCAAUUUAUAAUGCUAAUAAUAAAACACAUCGUAAUAGCAUUUUCAAACUGCAGGUAUUCAACAUUUGGAGAGUCAAAAGAUCUGAAAAAAUAUUUUUGGGUCAAGCUAUUGUAAUGCAUAACAUACCAAGACAGCAAUAAAUCUUGGUGGGGCAGAAUUCUGGGCGGGGAGGAAGGAAGGGGAAAAGGAACAGUUUCCUGAGUGUCGACUGUGAUUGUCACAGUGCGGGGUUUCUCAGCACUACUGACAUUUUGGGCCGGAUCAUUCUUUGUUUGGCAGGCUGUCCUGUGCAUUGUAUGAUGUUUCACAGCGUCCCUGGCCUCUGCCCAGUGGAUGCCGAUAGCACACCACCCCCACUCCCAUUUGUGACAACCCAAAACGUCUCUAGACAUUACCAAAUGUCCCCUGGGGGGGCAAAAUCCACCCCGCCACUUUUGAACUGUUCUAAUAGAGGAUCCAUAACUAAUAAACCUGGUGUGCAGAGUUUGAUGAAAUAAAAACAAAAACUGCCAAUAAUUUGAAGAUUAAUCUUACAUAAAUUUUUAAAAAAUUUUUCUAUAGAAUGUGAUUAGAGGUUUUUCCAACCAAGAUCACUUUUCCAUCUCAAACCAUUUGGACACAAAGCAUGUGUAUGAAAAUCACCAUACUCUAGCUUCCCUCAAAACUCUCAGUAAAAGGCAGAUCCUUUUCUAUUCAUUGAGGGACAUUGAGUUUAUGGUCUGCAAGUCAACUUUGAAUUUAAAGUCUGAAAUGCAAAACUGGCUUUCCCAUUUCUUCCUCUGCAGAGAAGCAAACAAGGAACCGAUUCUUUGCUUUCUGUGCUCUUGAGACUUUAAAUAUUUCUCCCCAUCUCAGUUUUGGUGGGAGAUGGGAGGGUAUUACAAGCUAUAAUGCAAUCAUUUGGAUGCUUAACUGCAGACGAGAAGAAUUGGGAAUGCUUUGUAAAAUUUCCCAAAAGAGCGAAAUGCUCUGUCAGGGGUCCAAUGCCCCCAUCCUCUGCUUGGACAAACAUCUCUGUCCAGCUGGGGCUGCCACAACGGACCAGACGGAGGAUGUUUUGGCUUCGGCUUCUUUACCAUGCUGUACGGCUGCUGGAACAGACUGCCCCAAACUGAGUGGCUUGAAACAACAGAAAUUUAUUGUCUCACAGUUCUGGAAAAUGGAAGUCUAAAAUCAAGGCCCUGGCAAAGCCAUGCUCCCUCUGAAGCCUCGGGACAAGGACCAUGCUGCCUUCUUUGCCUCUUCCAGUUUCUGGUAGCCCCAGGCAGUCCGUGGCUCAGGGCAGCAAGACUCCAAGCUCUGCCUCCCUCUUCACAUGGCUGUCUUCCCUCUGUGUCUUUACGCUGUCAUCCCUAUGGGCAUGUCUAUGUCAAAACUUCCAUCUUCUUGUAAGGACAGCGGUCAUAGUGGAUUAGGGCCCAUCCUAUGAUCUCAUCUUCACGUGAUUACAUCUGCCGAGACCCCAUUUCCAAAUAAGGGCAGCGCCACAGGGGUUAGACACAGGAGUGAGGACUCCAACAUGUCCUUUCAGAGGACACCAUCCAACCCGUAACAACGUCUUCCACAGGACUGUUAAGACAGUGAACUGAAACACAGAUAUGAAAUGUCUUGAUGAUUGGAAAGUCUUGAUGCAAAUGUAGCAUAAAGAACUCAGCUGGGGUUUGAGUCCGGCCCUUUCUCCCAACCUUUAGGCUAGAGUUUCAGCAUAAGGACUCUGAAGCCCAAUUUAGGGGUGUGAAGACAAAUGAGGGGGAAGAGUAUAGAAAAUUAGGUCAAGGGCACAAAAGACAAUGUUCACUACCUUACGGGUUACCUGGGCCUAGUUCAGGUCCCGAGUGAGUGAAGUGACCUCAAAGACUCCAUGCGCUAACCCAGACUUCCCAGAAUGGGACCAGCAGGCAAGCGACACCCGUUCACCAAGGCCACGGUGGAGAGAAUGGAAAUCACUGCUUCACACUCGUAUUCUUUUACUACCGUAG